CAUGGAUGACAGUCCGACAGUUUGCUGGAUUCAAAACUGACUCUACAAAGUAGUUGUCUACAUUGUAGAUAGGAUUUCCUUUUAUUUGGAAAAUGAGCAAUUGUAAAUCAGGCAUUGGAGAGAAGAGAUAUAAACAAUCUUUAGAUGGUCGUAAGUUUUGCCUACUGUUGAAGGAUUAAAACCGUAAAUCAAAAAGGUACCAAGCCUUCAGAGUUCACCAUUCAUGUGAAACUUCUUCCAUCUCUUUCUUGACCUUUUUAAAAACCAUUUUCAUUUCUGCCCUUGCACUGAAGUCUCUGUACACGGUCUCAUCUGAAACUUUUCUGCUGUUGCAUCAGCCCCACAUUUUCAUAUACUCUAGCACUAUCUUCUCUCAUUUCUGGACACGUUGGGGUUGGGGUACAGGGUGGAAGAGGGCUCUGAUCCCCACUUGUCUGGUCCGAUAAAGAAUAUUUAAUGUUUGUGUAUUCAUGACCUUUCCUCUUACUUUUCUGUUCCUCUUCAAUUCUACGCUGUAGCGUUUCAAUGUAGUGCUGUACUGCCAUGUAAAUAAAUCUGUACUGUGCUUCUGUUUGAACCAUUCCUGACCGUUGUGAUCUCACCAUCUGAAUGGUCUUUGGAACAUCAAUAUCACAGUCCACACCUUUUUCUCUGAUUAUGUCAAUAAGAAUAUCAAUCACAAUGAAAGUUCCUGUUCGUCCAAUCCCAGCACUGCAGUGGACCACAACUGGUCCUGCAUCAGAAAUGCUUUCUUGCUUAUGGUGCACCUCCUCGAGAAAGUCCAGUACACCACCAGGGUCACUUGGGACUCCAUGAUCAGGCCAAGUUCUAAAAUGAUAUUGCCAGACUGUUCUCUCUGUGUUUCCUUGCCCAACUUUAGAAAGCUUAAGUUCUCUUAGCGUGUAGUCGUGUGCUGCACUCUCCUUAACAUUCCUCACACGCAUAACACCAUACUCCUUUAGGGAAUAUUCAUCAGGCCAGUACUUGACACACUUACUCUUUCCUCUUUCAACUUCUUUUGUUGUCAUAACAAUAACUCGAGAAUUCUCCUGGAAAACCAUCCUCCAAAAAUCAUUCACUGUAUUCUGCAGGCAACCUUGAGUAGCAAUGUAGCUUUUUUUUGGCUUUGAGUUGUUGCACUUGGUUUCAAACUCAGGCAUAAUAAUGUUAGCAUUGAUAUAGUCUGAAACAGGUUCAUUUGGAUCACCAUCGUGCAGAACAACUCUGGUAUGAUCAAAGGGUAAAAUGUUUUUGUAUCUAUUUUUGUUUUUGUUUUCCUGACGCUGACCUUCUUUACGGCUAUAGAGAAGUUUGCAUUCUUGCUGCUGUAAAGUCUCAAAUUCUUCCCAGAAGCCCUGCUUGACUUUAUCUGUAGUCUCCGCUAGCUUGCUUAGCUCUCGCACUCUGCUUUCAAUCUCUGCAGCAUUAAUACGGGUGGUAUUCAGGGGCUGCUUGAGUUGCAAUACUGUGCCCAAAGUUUCUACCAUAGGGUUCUUCUUAUAAUGCUCCACUAGAUCUGUCAGAGAGUCAAACUUCUCCCCUCCACCAACAUCAUAUUUUAGAUCCUGGCAGUGAAUCAUGACAUGUGUCACUUUAGAUUUCCCAUCAUUACUCUCUCCUUUAUCAUCUCCUGUCCGGACAGAAAGAACAAAGUCCCCAGGGUGGCUUUGACUCUCACGCACAAGAAAGCUUCCAUGUUUUCCUUUUUCUGUUAAUAGUUUUUCAGCUUCUCUUCCAGAGAGAUGCCCAUGAAACCACCUUUCUGAAGUAGGAUCAGCACAGUUGAGUGGAUAUUUCAACUCUAUCACAUCUCCAUUCUUUUCUUUGAGCUGCCCAUGAUGUUCCAUAUAAUACUGGACUAACUCAGCCAAUGUAGCAAACUUCUCUCCUCCAUAGAGGUCAUAGUAGUCUCCUGUGUUCUGGAUCUUGAUGUGGGUGACAGCUCCAGUUCGCCUAACAGAGAGUGUGAAGUCUCCUGGGUUACUUUUGCUGGGCCGUGCCAGAAAACUGCCAUCAACUCCUCUUGUUAACAGUAGAUUUUCUGCCUCCACCCCAGUGAUAUUUGGAUGAAACCAUC
RNAcentral lists this long non-coding RNA (2077 nucleotides) under Gallus gallus (chicken). The record is from RNAcentral. Lineage: Eukaryota; Metazoa; Chordata; Aves; Galliformes; Phasianidae.